This 305-nucleotide ribosomal RNA is filed under the name uncultured bacterium. RNAcentral describes it as "bacterial SSU rRNA". It matches the Rfam family "Bacterial small subunit ribosomal RNA", at positions 335 to 636 of the family's 1533-position model. The record is from RNAcentral.
GGUCCCUACGGGACGCAGCAGUGAGGAAUAUUGGUCAAUGGACGAAAGUCUGAACCAGCCAUGCCGCGUGCGGGAAGACGGCUCUAUGAGUUGUAAACUGCUUUUGUACAAGGGUAAACCUGGAUACGUGUAUUCAGCUGAAAGUACUGUACGAAUAAGGAUCGGCUAACUCCGUGCCAGCAGCCGCGGUAAUACAGAGGAUCCAAGCGUUAUCCGGAUUUAUUGGGUUUAAAGGGUGCGUAGGCGGAUUGAUAAGUUAGAGGUGAAAUGUCCGGGCUCAACUCGGGAACUGCCUCUAAUACUGU